AAAACGGAGAGUUUGAUCCUGGCUCAGGAUGAACGCUGGCGGCGUGCCUAACACAUGCAAGUCGAACGGUCUCUUCGGAGAUAGUGGCGGACGGGUGAGUAACGCGUGAGAAUCUACCUUUAGGUUCGGGACAACAGUUGGAAACGGCUGCUAAUACCGAAUGUGUCGCAAGAUGAAAGUUUUAAUGCCUGAAGAUGAGCUCGCGUCUGAUUAGCUAGUUGGUGGGGUAAAGGCUUACCAAGGCGACGAUCAGUAGCUGGUCUGAGAGGAUGAUCAGCCACACUGGGACUGAGACACGGCCCAGACUCCUACGGGAGGCAGCAGUGGGGAAUUUUCCGCAAUGGGCGAAAGCCUGACGGAGCAACGCCGCGUGAGGGAGGAAGGCUCUUGGGUUGUAAACC
Molecule: ribosomal RNA, 401 nt
Filed under: Richelia sp. RM1_1_1
Lineage: Bacteria; Bacillati; Cyanobacteriota; Cyanophyceae; Nostocales; Nostocaceae
Description: bacterial SSU rRNA
Rfam family: Bacterial small subunit ribosomal RNA
Source: RNAcentral